This 1406-nucleotide long non-coding RNA is filed under the name Homo sapiens (human). Its description in RNAcentral is "HSALNT0375059". The record is from RNAcentral. Lineage: Eukaryota; Metazoa; Chordata; Mammalia; Primates; Hominidae.
AGGCUGCAGUGAAUUCUACAAAGAGGCUAUGGGAAAGAAACCUGGAAAGUACCCUUGGCUGUGUACAUUUGAGUAAAGAGAGCACUAUAAAAUCAAAAACCAAUGAAAUGGUUUCCAGAACACAGAACUAUUAAGCUUAAGAAAAGGACAGAAGGAACUGAAGAGAGAGGAACUGUUUUGGAGCAUCACACUUCCACCUCAGAAGAAAUAAGGAAGGAAGGAGGAGGGUGUUCCCACGGCUCUUCAACCAGGCCGGCUCUUCAGCCUACAUCCCCAUCUCAUCAAGUAAAAGGGAUUUUUCAACUGGACCAACCAGAUGGUUUAACAGUGCACUCCCACACCAUUCAACUACGCAAGGGAGAUACACUUAACAUAUGCAGUCGUAUAACACCUACUAACAUUUUCAAACAUUAAACCUUUAAAAAAGAGUUCUAAAGAAAUAGAAGCUUGAAGUAUCAUCUCUCAAGUAUAUAGACACUACUUCAUGGUGUGGUAAUAUAUGCAUAUAGAAGCUAGUAAACACCUCCAGGAGAUGCAAAAGGAAUUAGAACUGCCACAAGGUGCAAGCAAAACCUUGAGCUUCUUUAAAAUAUGAAGACUUCGAAGUUAUUUAUCCAAACCAACCUGAUCAUUUCUUAAGAGUGAAUAUACCUUGGAAGACGUGUCCUGCCUUUAGUAGCGUCACAAUGGAUUACAUCCUCUAUAAAGCAGUCUGGGAGGCUAACAUCUGCCACAAGACAAAUAUGGUGCCUGCCCCCAUGGAGCUCAUAUUCGAAUGGAGAAAAUGUCAACAAGUAUCCCACGGAGUGAACACUUCAAAAGGAGAAGCACAGGUGAGAAAAUCGAAUUUGGACACCGUUGAGGAGACUAUUGCAGUCAUCCAAGCUCAAGAUGGUGGAGCUUCAUCCUUGAGAAUAACCAAUGGGGAUAGAUUUAAGAGACACUUAGAGUCUGCAGCCAACAGGGCUGAAUGAGCAGAGAGUUAUGAUUCAGAAGAUCAUCUAAAAUUGAACAGCUGCCACUACUGGCAAUAAGUCUACUGCCAUUUGGUAGAUAACCUUCUUAUCACACAGAAAAAUAUCAGUACAGACAAAUAGACCGCAAAGAAAAUGAGACCAUCAGCAAAGAAGAUAAAGAAGUUUGUACAAAGCAACUUUUUAUAAAUGGAUGGCUGUCAGGCAAAAAUAAAUUUCCUGUGGACAAGACCAAGAGCAAGGCAAGAGGAAAAUAAACAUGUUUAAACUAUUGGAGAGUCCAUAAUUUAAAUAUAAACUCUUCUGUUGAGUGGUAGUGUGCACCGAAUCAGUUCCAGGGAUGGCAAUAAAUGUUACGCUGCAUUUUAGGAAGUAUGGGAGAGGAAGCUGGGGCAAGAGGAACUAAUGCAUGAUUAAUGCUAGAUAUUUGGA